GAGCAUAGCUCAGUUGGUUAGAGCGUCGGAUUGUGGUUCCGAAGGUCGUGGGUUCGACCCCCACUGUUCA
RNAcentral lists this transfer RNA (70 nucleotides) under Duncaniella sp. Its description in RNAcentral is "tRNA-His". It matches the Rfam family "tRNA". From Rfam's summary of the family: Transfer RNA (tRNA) molecules are approximately 80 nucleotides in length. Their secondary structure includes four short double-helical elements and three loops (D, anti-codon, and T loops). Lineage: Bacteria; Pseudomonadati; Bacteroidota; Bacteroidia; Bacteroidales; Muribaculaceae. The record is from RNAcentral. RNAcentral also lists the same sequence under 1 other name.